UACGAAGGGGGCUAGCGUUGUUCGGAAUUACUGGGCGUAAAGCGUAUGCAGGCGGAUCGUUAAGUCGGGGGUGAAAUCCCGAGGCUCAACCUCGGAACUGCCUUCGAUACUGGCGACCUUCGAGUCCGGGAGAGGUGAGUGGAACUCCGAGUGUAGAGGUGAAAUUCGUAGAUAUUAGGAAGAACACCAGUGGCGAAGGCGGCUCACUGGUCCGGUACUGACGCUGAGGUGCGAAAGCGUGGGGAGCAAACAGG
This 254-nucleotide ribosomal RNA is filed under the name uncultured bacterium. RNAcentral's name for it is "partial 16S ribosomal RNA". It matches the Rfam family "Bacterial small subunit ribosomal RNA", at positions 524 to 776 of the family's 1533-position model. The record is from RNAcentral.